GUUUCCAGGCACAAAUCCCAUGUAUGUGAAAUAGAUAACUGAAGUUGGCCCAACUAUCUCAGCUGUCAUCUCCAUCCUCUCUCUGACUACCUGGGGAUAAGGAGUGACAAGAGAAUGCCUACGUUUAGAAUGAAGGUGCUUGACAAAGGCUUACCAGGAGCGAUCUUGCAGCUUUUAGCAGGAAUAUCAAGAGCAAAUUGCACAGGAACAAUGGGGAAGCCACCGGAAGGCUGUAAAACAGGAGGAACAUGCUCAGACAAAUGUGUUACAAGGAUUCCUCCUUUUUGUGUGUGAAGAAUGACUUAAAG
Molecule: long non-coding RNA, 308 nt
Organism: Leptonychotes weddellii (Weddell seal)
Lineage: Eukaryota; Metazoa; Chordata; Mammalia; Carnivora; Phocidae
Source: RefSeq, a predicted model, not a curated record